CGGUGUACAAGGGCGUCCGCCGAAGGGGCGCCGCCGGGCGGUGGGUCUGCGAGGUGCGGGAGCCCAACAAGAAGACCAGGAUCUGGCUGGGCACGUUCCCCACGGCCGAGAUGGCGGCGCGCGCGCACGAUGUCGCUGCGAUGAUGCUCCGGGGCCGCUCCGCCUGUCUCAACUUCGCCGACUCCGCGUGGCGCCUCCGCGUUCCGCCCUCCUUCUCGAGCUCCAGGGACAUCGCGCGGGCCGCGGCGGAGGCCGCGGAGGCGUUCCGGCCGUCAUCGGACUCCAGCGGCGACGCUGCGUCCCCCCCGAUGACAGAGAGCUCAGCACACGCAUCACCAUCGUUGCCCACGACGGCCAC
This 358-nucleotide long non-coding RNA is filed under the name Musa acuminata (dwarf banana). RNAcentral describes it as "long non-coding RNA (MACU_LNC003783)". Lineage: Eukaryota; Viridiplantae; Streptophyta; Magnoliopsida; Zingiberales; Musaceae. The record is from RNAcentral.